GCGCGGCGCGCGCGGCGGCUGCAGGGGGACGUGAGGCCCGUGAGGUCGAUGCCAGGGAUGCGAGGGGCUCACAGCGACAGCCGGCUCCCGGCUUGUCUGGAUGCUCUGAUUAGCAAGACCUACUGGGAUAAGAGACUGGAAGUGAGAGGAAGAAUGACAAAUCAGAUGCUUUCUCUCACUGGAACAUCCGAGCCAGACACUUCUCCACCGGCGAUGUUGUUUGGGCCACGGCUGCUGCCUGCUCGCCU
Molecule: long non-coding RNA, 248 nt
Organism: Melozone crissalis (California towhee)
Lineage: Eukaryota; Metazoa; Chordata; Aves; Passeriformes; Passerellidae
Exons: 4
Source: RefSeq, a predicted model, not a curated record